This 218-nucleotide non-coding RNA is filed under the name Lachnobacterium bovis. Its description in RNAcentral is "T-box sequence". It matches the Rfam family "T-box leader". Rfam says of the family: Uncharged tRNA acts as the effector for transcription antitermination of genes in the T-box leader family. T-boxes are found upstream of many aminoacyl-tRNA synthetase genes and some amino acid biosynthetic genes usually in Gram-positive bacteria. Lineage: Bacteria; Bacillati; Bacillota; Clostridia; Lachnospirales; Lachnospiraceae. The record is from RNAcentral.
GGUACAGCAUUGAAUAGGAAUAGUAGAAGGGUACAUUUUUUAAGAGAGUUGUCGUUUGGUGCAAGACAAUAGUUGUUAACUUUGAACUCGCCUAGGAGCUCUUUCCUUGAAAUAAUAGUAGGGGAAAGCGGGUAUUCUACGUUAUAAGAAUUUGAGUGCAUAUCUUUUUGAUAUGAAUUAGAGUGGUACCACGGAGAUUAGAUUACUUCGCCUCUUAC